This 73-nucleotide transfer RNA is filed under the name Cordylochernes scorpioides. RNAcentral describes it as "tRNA-Thr". The record is from RNAcentral. Lineage: Eukaryota; Metazoa; Arthropoda; Arachnida; Pseudoscorpiones; Chernetidae.
GUGUCCAGGGAUGGGAAUCGAACCCACAGUGUUCCGCUUACCGGGCAGAUGCCAUGUCCACUAGGAUAAUGGA